This 570-nucleotide ribosomal RNA is filed under the name uncultured bacterium. RNAcentral describes it as "partial 16S ribosomal RNA". It matches the Rfam family "Bacterial small subunit ribosomal RNA", at positions 355 to 919 of the family's 1533-position model. The record is from RNAcentral.
UGGGGAAUUUUGGACAAUGGACGAAAGCCUGAUCCAGCAAUGCCGCGUGUGUGAAGAAGGCCUUCGGGUUGUAAGCACUUUUGUCCGGAAAGAAAUCCUUGGCUCUAAUACAGUCGGGGGAUGACGGUACCGGAAGAAUAAGCACCGGCUAACUACGUGCCAGCAGCCGCGGUAAUACGUAGGGUGCAAGCGUUAAUCGGAAUUACUGGGCGUAAAGCGUGCGCAGGCGGUUUGCUAAGACCGAUGUGAAAUCCCCGGGCUCAACCUGGGAACUGCAUUGGUGACUGGCAGGCUAGAGUAUGGCAGAGGGGGGUAGAAUUCCACGUGUAGCAGUGAAAUGCGUAGAGAUGUGGAGGAAUACCGAUGGCGAAGGCAGCCCCCUGGGCCAAUACUGACGCUCAUGCACGAAAGCGUGGGGAGCAAACAGGAUUAGAUACCCUGGUAGUCCACGCCCUAAACGAUGUCAACUAGUUGUUGGGGAUUCAUUUCCUUAGUAACGUAGCUAACGCGUGAAGUUGACCGCCUGGGGAGUACGGUCGCAAGAUUAAAACUCAAAUGAAUUGACGGGGU